CUGGGGGCGUCGCGUGGCUCAGCGGUAGAGCAGGCGCACCAUAUGCAGAGGCUAGGGUCCUCCAUGCAACUGUCCCGAGUUCAAUUCCCAGCCCCUAGA
Non-coding RNA from Ataeniobius toweri, 99 nucleotides. The record is from the annotation of a GenBank genome assembly. NCBI's taxonomy places the organism in Eukaryota, Metazoa, Chordata, Actinopteri, Cyprinodontiformes, Goodeidae.